AUGCACGCUGGCGGCGUGCCUCAUCCAUGCAAGUCGAGCGAACGGACGAGAAGCUUGCUUUUCUGAUGUUAGCGGCGGACGGGUGAGUAACACGUGGAUAACCUACCUAUAAGACUGGGAUAACUUCGGGAAACCGGAGCUAAUACCGGAUAAUAUUUUGAACCGCAUGGUUCAAAAGUGAAAGACGGUCUUGCUGUCACCUAUAGAUGGAUCCGCGCUGCAUUAGCUAGUUGGUAAGGUAACGGCUUACCAAGGCAACGAUGCAUAGCCGACCUGAGAGGGUGAUCGGCCACACUGGAACUGAGACACGGUCCAGACUCCUACGGGAGGCAGCAGUAGGGAAUCUUCCGCAAUGGGCGAAAGCCUGACGGAGCAACGCCGCGUGAGUGAUGAAGGUCUUCGGAUCGUAAAACGCUGUUAUUAGGGAAGAACAUAUGUGUAAGUAACUGUGCACAUCUUGACGGUACCUAUCAGAAAGCCACGGCUAACUACGUG
RNAcentral lists this ribosomal RNA (495 nucleotides) under uncultured bacterium. RNAcentral's name for it is "partial 16S ribosomal RNA". It matches the Rfam family "Bacterial small subunit ribosomal RNA", at positions 29 to 507 of the family's 1533-position model. The record is from RNAcentral.